Pelobates cultripes (western spadefoot toad) is the source of this 79-nucleotide non-coding RNA. NCBI's taxonomy places the organism in Eukaryota, Metazoa, Chordata, Amphibia, Anura, Pelobatidae. The record is from the annotation of a GenBank genome assembly.
GAUGACAAAUCUCCGGAAUCUCUGUAACUCUGUGAUGAUUACUUUGAACCCUUUUGUCUGAUGACUUUGCUCUUGUUUU